CAGCCGCGCUUCUAAGGGGCCCUAAGAUCACCUCCCAAUCUGAAGGCUCUAAAAGUCAAAGGCUGUAAAAAUCUUCCCUGGACUCUUUUCCAGAAUGAAAGUAGCAAGGCAUGGAGUUCCUCUGGUGCAUCAUCAAGAGAGUUCGGCAAAGGAGGGUAACUUCUAUCAGCUCAUGAAACUCAUUUCUCACUGGACCGACGAGAAAACGAAAGAAAGAUCCAGGGGAUUAAACUACUUCGGCAAAGACAACAAGGGUUGCUCACUCAAUUCUGGACAGAUGACCUUUCAUGCGUGAGCCCAACUCCACUAAUCAUAGGGAGAAAACUUGCCUCUGAAGCAUGCAGUCUCCUGUUCGGGGUGGGGAGGGACAGUGCUGGUGGUAGGAAGGACUUGAGUGGGGGAGAAAAGUAAAAGCAGAGCACAGGUAAAGGUAUUUUCAAAAUGAUAGAAAGAUCACAAUCCAAGAAUGCAUUUUUAACUCUACCCUUACAUUCUGUACGCUAAAGAAUUAAACCUGUGUAAACAUUUUUGCUAUCUUCCCUUAGUGCAAAACGAACAUACGAGAAAAAGCAGAAUUAAAGCAAUUUCCCAUGCAUUUUAGAGCAGACAGAGAUACAGACAGAAGUAUUAUAUUCUACUAUUUGCAUGGACAACCCUCCCACUACAGCAUCCUUUAUACUGAUCCAAUAUGAUCCGAACAAAAGGAUUAUAGGCAUGGAUUCACCAUAGGAAUGCACACAGCUACCCUCUUACCCCUUUGCCAAUCAAAACAAAAGCUAAAGAAAAUAAAGAUGGAACUCAUGUGUCGUUUGUUUGAA
Non-coding RNA from Macaca mulatta (Rhesus monkey), 818 nucleotides. The record is from RefSeq and is a predicted model, not a curated record. NCBI's taxonomy places the organism in Eukaryota, Metazoa, Chordata, Mammalia, Primates, Cercopithecidae.